GGGAAGGUGGCUCAGUGGUAGAGCGCUUGCCUUGAAAUGCAUGAGGCCCUGGGUUCGAUUCCCCACCACCACA
Molecule: non-coding RNA, 73 nt
Organism: Dipodomys ordii (Ord's kangaroo rat)
Lineage: Eukaryota; Metazoa; Chordata; Mammalia; Rodentia; Heteromyidae
Source: Rfam